AUUGGAGAUCUCAACGAAAUCCACUUGCUAAGUGAGAAGGAUGGAGGAGAUCCAAGACCAUAACAAUACAUGAUGGUGUUCCAGUCAGCCAUUGAUGAUUGUGAGUUAAGAGAUAUGGGGUUCUUGGGUGACCAAUUCACGUGGUAUCGUGGACACAACAGAGAAAGGUUAGAUAGGGGUCUAAUUAAUAAUACAUGGAGCAUUAUGUAUCCACAUGCGGCGCUACAGAAUCUGGGUUAUAAUCAUUCUGAUCAUAGACCGUUACUAGUGGAUAUAGAAUACUAUUCCCUGGUGGGUGGAUCCGGCAAUCAGGUCAAACACUUCGAAGCAAGAUGGGUUAAAGAAAGUUCUUUUAAUGAUCUGGUUGAGAAAACGUGGCAGCAGGUUGGAUCCAACCCGGACCUCAUAUUUAUUCAUGCUAAACUUAAUUGCAUGCACGAUAUGUUUCAUGAUUGGGAUCAUAGGGUUCUCAAGAGGCCUAAGAAAAGGUUGAGAAAGGCACAAAAAGAUUUGGAGAAGAUAAUGAUUGGCCCUAUGAAUGAUGAGACAGAGGAGAAGGGAAGGAGCUAUCUGAACUGA
Molecule: ribosomal RNA, 579 nt
Filed under: Triticum aestivum (bread wheat)
Lineage: Eukaryota; Viridiplantae; Streptophyta; Magnoliopsida; Poales; Poaceae
Description: partial small subunit ribosomal RNA
Source: RNAcentral